Molecule: ribosomal RNA, 565 nt
Filed under: uncultured archaeon
Lineage: Archaea
Description: bacterial SSU rRNA
Rfam family: Archaeal small subunit ribosomal RNA
Source: RNAcentral
UCCUGGUUGAUCCUGCCGGACCUGACUGCUAUCGGAUUGGUACUAAGCCAUGCGAGUCGUUGUAGCAAUACAAGGCGGACUGCUCAGUAACACGUAGUUGACUUAACCUAUGGAUGGGAAUAACCUCGGGAAACUGAGAAUAAUACCCAAUGGGCCACAGUGCCUGGAAUGGCCUGUGGUUGAAAUGAUUUAUCGCCGUAGGAUAGGACUGCGGCCUAUCAGCUUGUUGGUGAGGUAAUGGCCCACCAAGGCUAUAACAGGUACGGGCUCUGAGAGGAGGGGCCCGGAGAUGGGUACUGAGACACGGACCCAGGCCCUAUGGGGCGCAGCAGGCGAGAACCCUUUGCAAUGUGCGAAAGCACGACAAGGUUAAUCCGAGUGUCUCCUGCUAAAGGAGUCUUUUGUCAGUUGUAGAAUCACUGGCGAAUAAGGGGUGGGCAAGUUCUGGUGUCAGCCGCCGCGGUAAAACCAGCACCUCGAGUGGUCAGGAGGUUUAUUGGGCCUAAAGCAUCCGUAGCCGGUUGCAUAAGUUUUCGGUUAAAUCUAUGCGCUUAACGUAUAGGCC